UACGUAGGUGGCAAGCGUUGUCCGGAUUUACUGGGCGUAAAGCGUAUGCAGGCGGAUGCUUAAGUAGGAAGUGAAAGGUUGGAGCUCAACUCUAACACUGCUCCCUAUACUGGGUGUCUUGAGUGCCGGAGAGGAAGAUGGAACUGCACGUGUAGCGGUGAAAUGCGUUGAGAUGUGCAGGAACACCAAUGGCGAAAGCAGUCUUCUGGACGGAUACUGACGCUGAGAUACGAAAGCCAAGGUAGCAAACAGG
Molecule: ribosomal RNA, 253 nt
Filed under: uncultured bacterium
Lineage: Bacteria
Description: partial 16S ribosomal RNA
Rfam family: Bacterial small subunit ribosomal RNA
Source: RNAcentral